Molecule: ribosomal RNA, 253 nt
Filed under: uncultured bacterium
Lineage: Bacteria
Description: partial 16S ribosomal RNA
Rfam family: Bacterial small subunit ribosomal RNA
Source: RNAcentral
CACGAAGGGGGCUAGCGUUGUUCGGAAUUACUGGGCGUAAAGGGCGCGUAGGCGGUGUGUCAAGUCAGGCGUGAAAGCCCCGGGCUCAACCUGGGAACCGCGCUUGAGACUGGCACGCUAGAGUUCGGGAGAGGAUGGUGGAAUUCCCAGUGUAGAGGUGAAAUUCGUAGAUAUUGGGAAGAACACCGAUGGCGAAGGCAGCCAUCUGGACCGACACUGACGCUGAGGCGCGAAAGCGUGGGGAGCAAACAGG